This 1204-nucleotide long non-coding RNA is filed under the name Pan troglodytes (chimpanzee). RNAcentral describes it as "long non-coding RNA NONPTRT016700". Lineage: Eukaryota; Metazoa; Chordata; Mammalia; Primates; Hominidae. The record is from RNAcentral.
AAAAUGGGAAGAGAUAAUGAAACUCCCAAAUGUUCAGUGAUAUGAAGGAGGAAAAGAUUUCUAAAAUAAAGAACUAAAUCUGCACAUGGAAAUCUAUUCCAAGAAAAACUAUAGAGAAUGAAAUAUAUCUUUGUAAAGUUAGUGAAUGUCAACAAUGACUAAACAAAGGUUUCUGUGGACACAAUGGUAGGAGGAAGUCACUUCUGAGGGGCGCAACCUCACAGACCACUGAGUUUUCCAGGGCAGCAAUCACUGCCAGAAGACAGUAGAGCAGUACCUAUGGGCCCAGAAGGGGAAAAGGUAGUGUGACCCAGGGAUUACAUGGCCGAGUUGUUACUUUGUUGUUGAUAGUUGACCGCAACAGAUCUAUUCCACUUGUAAAGACUUGAAGAAUAUAAUGACCAUGGACUCUCUUGAAAAGAAAAUCCUUGAAGAUAAGAUAAAAUACAGCCAAACAAAAAAUGGAACUAAAUCGCUGAAAGCUGAAAAGGAGUUGGGGAAUGGCAAUGAACCCUGAGACCACUGAGAAAUAGAAACAGGGCCAAACAACUGUGGAGCUUAUCAUCACAUAAUAUGAGGAUUCUAGACACUGGAAUAGAAAAGACUCGUGUGGGAAAGAAGUUCAGAGACUGGCCAGUGGUCUCACAGAUUUCAUCUUGCUCUCAAGGCCCUGCAGUGGCGACAGUGGGGAGGAUUUAAGAUUGCCAGUUCCAGGCCUUAGAAGCAGAAACUCCAGUACCUACGGGAAGGAUGCUGCAGCCGCGUGUCUGUGGAUACUGAAGGAGCAAUGACUUGAUGGAGAGUCAGCUGAAGAUUUUAUUCAACAAGAAAAAUAUUCUGUAGAGAAAGUACGAAUGGAUCAUGUGAAUAAGUAGGGAAAACACUGUUUAAAAGUUCAAGAGAACAGAAUAUUUUAUAAUUGUAUCUUAGAAUCUGCCACUCAUGUACACAUCUCAGAUGUGCCAGUUUCUCUCCAUCUUGCUCUAGUCUACAACAGUUAGUGAGGAGCAGCAUGUUUGAGGCCACAUUGAGGACAUAUGCUGUGGAAAGUUGUGCCUUGGCCUUAGAGCCACAGAAUUCUCAGUGCUAAUCCCCGCUCGCCACUUAAUAGCUGUGUGAGCUUUGGUAAAUCAAGGGAUUUCAAAUCACUUGAUUUCUCUGUGCCCCAAUUCCUUCUUCACCCUCUGGGGAUCUUGUAAAGACU